GACUGUGGUAGUGCAGUGGUUAAGUCUUUGAAAUCCUGAUCCAAAGGUCAUGAGUUCAAAUCCCAACUAUGCCA
Ameiurus melas (black bullhead) is the source of this 74-nucleotide non-coding RNA. Lineage: Eukaryota; Metazoa; Chordata; Actinopteri; Siluriformes; Ictaluridae. The record is from the annotation of a GenBank genome assembly.